RNAcentral lists this transfer RNA (75 nucleotides) under Mycobacterium phage Winky. RNAcentral's name for it is "tRNA-Cys". It matches the Rfam family "tRNA". Rfam says of the family: Transfer RNA (tRNA) molecules are approximately 80 nucleotides in length. Their secondary structure includes four short double-helical elements and three loops (D, anti-codon, and T loops). Further hydrogen bonds mediate the characteristic L-shaped molecular structure. tRNAs have two regions of fundamental functional importance: the anti-codon, which is responsible for specific mRNA codon recognition, and the 3' end, to which the tRNAs corresponding amino acid is attached (by aminoacyl-tRNA synthetases). tRNAs cope with the degeneracy of the genetic code in two manners: having more than one tRNA (with a specific anti-codon) for a particular amino acid; and 'wobble' base-pairing, i.e. permitting non-standard base-pairing at the 3rd anti-codon position. The record is from RNAcentral. Lineage: Duplodnaviria; Heunggongvirae; Uroviricota; Caudoviricetes; Vilmaviridae.
GCCGUCAUGGCUGAGUGGUUAGGCGUCGGACUGCAAAUCCGGCUUAUCCCAGUUCGAUUCUGGGUGGCGGCUCCG